RNAcentral lists this ribosomal RNA (260 nucleotides) under Aeromonas caviae subsp. aquatica. Its description in RNAcentral is "partial 23S ribosomal RNA". It matches the Rfam family "Bacterial large subunit ribosomal RNA", at positions 2671 to 2925 of the family's 2925-position model. Lineage: Bacteria; Pseudomonadati; Pseudomonadota; Gammaproteobacteria; Aeromonadales; Aeromonadaceae. The record is from RNAcentral.
GUUGCUCCUAGUACGAGAGGACCGGAGUGAACGAACCUCUGGUGUUCGGGUUGUCACGCCAGUGGCACUGCCCGGUAGCUAAGUUCGGAAUCGAUAACCGCUGAAAGCAUCUAAGCGGGAAGCGAGCCCUGAGAUGAGUCAUCCCUGACCCCUUGAGGGUCCUAAAGGGCCGUUGGAGACCACAACGUUGAUAGGUGGGGUGUGUAAGCGUAGCGAUACGUUGAGCUAACCCAUACUAAUUACCCGUGAGGCUUAACCAU